RNAcentral lists this ribosomal RNA (460 nucleotides) under uncultured bacterium. RNAcentral describes it as "partial 16S ribosomal RNA". It matches the Rfam family "Bacterial small subunit ribosomal RNA", at positions 338 to 795 of the family's 1533-position model. The record is from RNAcentral.
CCUACGGGAGGCUGCAGUGAGGAAUAUUGGUCAAUGGGCGCGAGCCUGAACCAGCCAAGUCGCGUGAGGGAGGACGGCCCUACGGGUUGUAAACCUCUUUUGCCGGGGAGCAACGGGCGUCACGUGUGGCGCCACUGAGAGUACCCGGAGAAAAAGCAUCGGCUAACUCCGUGCCAGCAGCCGCGGUAAUACGGAGGAUGCGAGCGUUAUCCGGAUUCAUUGGGUUUAAAGGGUGCGCAGGCGGGCCUUUAAGCCGGCGGUGAAAUCGCGGGGCUCAACCCCGCCGAGCCGUCGGAACUGGGGGCCUUGAGUGCGGCGGAGGCAUGCGGAAUGCGCGGUGUAGCGGUGAAAUGCAUAGAUAUCGCGCAGAACCCCGAUUGCGAAGGCAGCGUGCCGUGCCGCCACUGACGCUGAGGCACGAAAGCGCGGGGAUCGAACAGGAUUAGAUACCCCUGUAGUC